This 497-nucleotide ribosomal RNA is filed under the name uncultured bacterium. Its description in RNAcentral is "partial 16S ribosomal RNA". It matches the Rfam family "Bacterial small subunit ribosomal RNA", at positions 28 to 507 of the family's 1533-position model. The record is from RNAcentral.
GAUGGACGCUGGCGGCGUGCCUAAUACAUGCAAGUCGAGCGAACGGACGAGAAGCUUGCUUCUCUGAUGUUAGCGGCGGACGGGUGAGUAACACGUGGAUAACCUACCUAUAAGACUGGGAUAACUUCGGGAAACCGGAGCUAAUACCGGAUAAUAUUUUGAACCGCAUGGUUCAAAAGUGAAAGACGGUCUUGCUGUCACUUAUAGAUGGAUCCGCGCUGCAUUAGCUAGUUGGUAAGGUAACGGCUUACCAAGGCAACGAUGCAUAGCCGACCUGAGAGGGUGAUCGGCCACACUGGAAAUGAGACACGGUCCAGACUCCUACGGGAGGCAGCAGUAGGGAAUCUUCCGCAAUGGGCGAAAGCCUGACGGAGAAACGCCGCGUGAGUGAUGAAGGUCUUCGGAUCGUAAAACUCUGUUAUUAGGGAAGAACAUAUGUGUAAGUAACUGUGCACAUCUUGACGGUACCUAAUCAGAAAGCCACGGCUAACUACGUG